This 496-nucleotide ribosomal RNA is filed under the name uncultured bacterium. RNAcentral describes it as "partial 16S ribosomal RNA". It matches the Rfam family "Bacterial small subunit ribosomal RNA", at positions 30 to 523 of the family's 1533-position model. The record is from RNAcentral.
AUUGAACGCUGGCGGAAUGCUUUACACAUGCAAGUCGAACGGUAGAGGGGGCAACCCCUCGAGAGUGGCGAACGGGUGAGUAAUAUAUCGGAACGUGCCCAGUCGUGGGGGAUAACGUAGCGAAAGUUACGCUAAUACCGCAUACGAUCUAAGGAUGAAAGCGGGGGAUCGCAAGACCUCGCGCGAUUGGAGCGGCCGAUAUCAGAUUAGGUAGUUGGUGGGGUAAAGGCGCACCAAGCCAACGAUCUGUAGCUGGUCUGAGAGGACGACCAGCCAGACUGGAACUGAGACACGGUCCAGACUCCUACGGGAGGCAGCAGUGGGGAAUUUUGGACAAUGGACGCAAGUCUGAUCCAGCCAUUCCGCGUGCAGGAUGAAGGCCCUCGGGUUGUAAACUGCUUUUGUACGGAACGAAAAGGUCUCUCUUAAUACGGGGGGCUCAUGACGGUACCGUAAGAAUAAGCACCGGCUAACUACGUGCCAGCAGCCGCGGUAA